GCACAGUAAGAGCUUGCUCUUAUGGGUGGCGAGUGGCGGACGGGUGAGGAAUACAUCGGAAUCUACCUUUUCGUGGGGGAUAACGUAGGGAAACUUACGCUAAUACCGCAUACGACCUUCGGGUGAAAGCAGGGGACCUUCGGGCCUUGCGCGGAUAGAUGAGCCGAUGUCGGAUUAGCUAGUUGGCGGGGUAAAGGCCCACCAAGGCGACGAUCCGUANNUGGUCCGAGAGGAUGAUCAGCCACACUGGAACUGAGACACGGUCCAGACUCCUACGGGAGGCAGCAGUGGGGAAUAUUGGACAAUGGGCGCAAGCCUGAUCCAGCCAUACCGCGUGGGUGAAGAAGGCCUUCGGGUUGUAAAGCCCUUUUGUUGGGAAAGAAAAGCAGUCGAUUAAUACUCGGUUGUUNCGGNCGGUACCCAA
Molecule: ribosomal RNA, 424 nt
Filed under: uncultured Gammaproteobacteria bacterium
Lineage: Bacteria; Pseudomonadati; Pseudomonadota; Gammaproteobacteria
Description: bacterial SSU rRNA
Rfam family: Bacterial small subunit ribosomal RNA
Source: RNAcentral